CCUACGGGAGGCAGCAGUGGGGAAUAUUGCACAAUGGGCGCAAGCCUGAUGCAGCAAUGCCGCGUGUGUGAAGAAGGCCUGCGGGUUGUAAAGCACUUUUAUUAGGAAAGAAAAACCCGGAGUUAAUACCUCCGGCAUUGACGGUACCUAAAGAAUAAGCACCGGCUAACUCAGUGCCAGCAGCCGCGGUAAUACUGAGGGUGCGAGCGUUAAUCGGAAUUACUGGGCGUAAAGCGAGUGUAGGCGGCUACGUAAGUCGGUUGUGAAAGCCCCGGGCUUAACCUGGGAAUUGCGAUCGAUACUGCGUGGCUAGAGUUUGACAGAGGGAUGUGGAAUUCCGGGUGUAGCGGUGAAAUGCGUAGAUAUCCGGAGGAACACCAGUGGCGAAGGCGGCAUCCUGGGUCAAAACUGACGCUGAGGCUCGAAAGCGUGGGGAGCAGACAGGAUUAGAUACCCUGGUAGUCCACGCCCUAAACGAUGUCAACUAGACGUUGGGUUCAUUAAGGAACUUAGUGUCGAAGCUAACGCGUUAAGUUGACCGCCUGGGGAGUACGGCCGCAAGGUUGAAACUCAAAGGAAUUGACGG
This 586-nucleotide ribosomal RNA is filed under the name uncultured Gammaproteobacteria bacterium. RNAcentral's name for it is "bacterial SSU rRNA". It matches the Rfam family "Bacterial small subunit ribosomal RNA", at positions 338 to 916 of the family's 1533-position model. The record is from RNAcentral. Lineage: Bacteria; Pseudomonadati; Pseudomonadota; Gammaproteobacteria.